Molecule: ribosomal RNA, 421 nt
Filed under: uncultured bacterium
Lineage: Bacteria
Description: bacterial SSU rRNA
Rfam family: Bacterial small subunit ribosomal RNA
Source: RNAcentral
UAAGGAAUAUUGGUCAAUGGACGCAAGUCUGAACCAGCCAUGCCGCGUGAAGGAUGAAGGUCCUCUGGAUUGUAAACUUCUUUUAUCUGGGACGAAAACGGGAUUUUUAUCUCAAUUGACGGUACCAGAGGAAUAAGCACCGGCUAACUCCGUGCCAGCAGCCGCGGUAAUACGGAGGGUGCGAGCGUUAUCCGGAUUUACUGGGUUUAAAGGGUGCGUAGGUGGGCUUAUAAGUCAGUGGUGAAAUCUCCGAGCUUAACUUGGAAACUGCCGUUGAUACUAUAUGUCUUGAAUUAUCUGGAGGUAAGCGGAAUAUGUCAUGUAGCGGUGAAAUGCUUAGAUAUGACAUAGAACACCAAUUGCGAAGGCAGCUUACUACAUAUAAAUUGACGCUGAGGCACGAAAGCGUGGGGAUCAAACA